RNAcentral lists this ribosomal RNA (2901 nucleotides) under Klebsiella pneumoniae. RNAcentral's name for it is "23S ribosomal RNA". It matches the Rfam family "Bacterial large subunit ribosomal RNA". Lineage: Bacteria; Pseudomonadati; Pseudomonadota; Gammaproteobacteria; Enterobacterales; Enterobacteriaceae. The record is from RNAcentral.
GGUUAAGCGACUAAGCGUACACGGUGGAUGCCCUGGCAGUCAGAGGCGAUGAAGGACGUGCUAAUCUGCGAAAAGCGUCGGUAAGGUGAUAUGAACCGUUACAGCCGGCGAUGUCCGAAUGGGGAAACCCAGUGCAAUUCGUUGCACUAUCGUUAACUGAAUACAUAGGUUAACGAGGCGAACCGGGGGAACUGAAACAUCUAAGUACCCCGAGGAAAAGAAAUCAACCGAGAUUCCCCCAGUAGCGGCGAGCGAACGGGGAGCAGCCCAGAGUCUGAAUCAGCUUGUGUGUUAGUGGAACGGUCUGGAAAGUCCGACGGUACAGGGUGAUAGUCCCGUACACCAAAAUGCACAGGUUGUGAACUCGAAGAGUAGGGCGGGACACGUGGUAUCCUGUCUGAAUAUGGGGGGACCAUCCUCCAAGGCUAAAUACUCCUGACUGACCGAUAGUGAACCAGUACCGUGAGGGAAAGGCGAAAAGAACCCCGGCGAGGGGAGUGAAAAAGAACCUGAAACCGUGUACGUACAAGCAGUGGGAGCACCUUCGGGUGUGACUGCGUACCUUUUGUAUAAUGGGUCAGCGACUUAUAUUCUGUAGCAAGGUUAACCGUAUAGGGGAGCCGCAGGGAAACCGAGUCUUAACUGGGCGUUAAGUUGCAGGGUAUAGACCCGAAACCCGGUGAUCUAGCCAUGGGCAGGUUGAAGGUUGGGUAACACUAACUGGAGGACCGAACCGACUAAUGUUGAAAAAUUAGCGGAUGACUUGUGGCUGGGGGUGAAAGGCCAAUCAAACCGGGAGAUAGCUGGUUCUCCCCGAAAGCUAUUUAGGUAGCGCCUCGUGAACUCAUCUUCGGGGUAGAGCACUGUUUCGGCUAGGGGGUCAUCCCGACUUACCAACCCGAUGCAAACUACGAAUACCGAAGAAUGUUAUCACGGGAGACACACGGCGGGUGCUAACGUCCGUCGUGAAGAGGGAAACAACCCAGACCGCCAGCUAAGGUCCCAAAGUCAUGGUUAAGUGGGAAACGAUGUGGGAAGGCACAGACAGCCAGGAUGUUGGCUUAGAAGCAGCCAUCAUUUAAAGAAAGCGUAAUAGCUCACUGGUCGAGUCGGCCUGCGCGGAAGAUGUAACGGGGCUAAACCAUGCACCGAAGCUGCGGCAGCGACACUAUGUGUUGUUGGGUAGGGGAGCGUUCUGUAAGCCUGCGAAGGUGUGCUGUGAGGCAUGCUGGAGGUAUCAGAAGUGCGAAUGCUGACAUAAGUAACGAUAAAGCGGGUGAAAAGCCCGCUCGCCGGAAGACCAAGGGUUCCUGUCCAACGUUAAUCGGGGCAGGGUGAGUCGACCCCUAAGGCGAGGCCGAAAGGCGUAGUCGAUGGGAAACAGGUUAAUAUUCCUGUACUUGGUGUUACUGCGAAGGGGGGACGGAGAAGGCUAUGUUAGCCGGGCGACGGUUGUCCCGGUUUAAGCAUGUAGGCUGAUUGUCCAGGCAAAUCCGGAUAAUCAAGGCUGAGGUGUGAUGACGAGGCACUACGGUGCUGAAGUAACAAAUGCCCUGCUUCCAGGAAAAGCCUCUAAGCAUCAGGUAACAUUAAAUCGUACCCCAAACCGACACAGGUGGUCAGGUAGAGAAUACCAAGGCGCUUGAGAGAACUCGGGUGAAGGAACUAGGCAAAAUGGUGCCGUAACUUCGGGAGAAGGCACGCUGGUGUGUAGGUGAAGUCCCUGCGGAUGGAGCUGAGACCAGUCGAAGAUACCAGCUGGCUGCAACUGUUUAUUAAAAACACAGCACUGUGCAAACACGAAAGUGGACGUAUACGGUGUGACGCCUGCCCGGUGCCGGAAGGUUAAUUGAUGGGGUUAUCCGUAAGGAGAAGCUCUUGAUCGAAGCCCCGGUAAACGGCGGCCGUAACUAUAACGGUCCUAAGGUAGCGAAAUUCCUUGUCGGGUAAGUUCCGACCUGCACGAAUGGCGUAAUGAUGGCCAGGCUGUCUCCACCCGAGACUCAGUGAAAUUGAACUCGCUGUGAAGAUGCAGUGUACCCGCGGCAAGACGGAAAGACCCCGUGAACCUUUACUAUAGCUUGACACUGAACAUUGAGCCUUGAUGUGUAGGAUAGGUGGGAGGCUUUGAAGCGUGGACGCCAGUCUGCGUGGAGCCAACCUUGAAAUACCACCCUUUAAUGUUUGAUGUUCUAACGUUGGCCCCUGACCGGGGUUGCGGACAGUGUCUGGUGGGUAGUUUGACUGGGGCGGUCUCCUCCCAAAGCGUAACGGAGGAGCACGAAGGUUAGCUAAUCCUGGUCGGACAUCAGGAGGUUAGUGCAAUGGCAUAAGCUAGCUUGACUGCGAGCGUGACGGCGCGAGCAGGUGCGAAAGCAGGUCAUAGUGAUCCGGUGGUUCUGAAUGGAAGGGCCAUCGCUCAACGGAUAAAAGGUACUCCGGGGAUAACAGGCUGAUACCGCCCAAGAGUUCAUAUCGACGGCGGUGUUUGGCACCUCGAUGUCGGCUCAUCACAUCCUGGGGCUGAAGUAGGUCCCAAGGGUAUGGCUGUUCGCCAUUUAAAGUGGUACGCGAGCUGGGUUUAGAACGUCGUGAGACAGUUCGGUCCCUAUCUGCCGUGGGCGCUGGAGAAUUGAGGGGGGCUGCUCCUAGUACGAGAGGACCGGAGUGGACGCAUCACUGGUGUUCGGGUUGUCAUGCCAAUGGCACUGCCCGGUAGCUAAAUGCGGAAGAGAUAAGUGCUGAAAGCAUCUAAGCACGAAACUUGCCCCGAGAUGAGUUCUCCCUGAGACUAUAAGUCUCCUGAAGGAACGUUAAAGACGAUGACGUUGAUAGGCCGGGUGUGUAAGCGCAGCGAUGCGUUGAGCUAACCGGUACUAAUGAACCGUGAGGCUUAACCUU